This 459-nucleotide ribosomal RNA is filed under the name uncultured bacterium. RNAcentral's name for it is "partial 16S ribosomal RNA". It matches the Rfam family "Bacterial small subunit ribosomal RNA", at positions 338 to 795 of the family's 1533-position model. The record is from RNAcentral.
CCUACGGGGGGCAGCAGUGAGGAAUAUUGGUCAAUGGCCGCAGGGCUGAACCAGCCAAGUCGCGUGAGGGAUGAAGGUCCUAUGUAUUGUAAACCUCUUUUGUCAGGGAGCAAAGGGUGCCACGUGUGGCGUUUUGAGAGUACCUGAAGAAAAAGCAUCGGCUAACUCCGUGCCAGCAGCCGCGGUAAUACGGAGGAUGCGAGCGUUAUCCGGAUUUAUUGGGUUUAAAGGGUGCGCAGGCGGAAUGUUAAGUCAGCGGUAAAAUUUCGGGGCUCAACCCCGUCGUGCCGUUGAAACUGGCGGUCUUGAGUGAGCGAGAAGUAUGCGGAAUGCGUGGUGUAGCGGUGAAAUGCAUAGAUAUCACGCAGAACUCCGAUUGCGAAGGCAGCAUACCGGCGCUCAACUGACGCUCAUGCACGAAAGCGUGGGUAUCGAACAGGAUUAGAUACCCUUGUAGUC